RNAcentral lists this long non-coding RNA (1309 nucleotides) under Capra hircus (goat). Its description in RNAcentral is "lncRNA (ENSCHIG00010032000.1)". The record is from RNAcentral. Lineage: Eukaryota; Metazoa; Chordata; Mammalia; Artiodactyla; Bovidae.
AUGCACCUGGAUCCCCAGCAACGAGAAGCUAAUUGGGAUGCUAUGGAGGUUGGAAAGGUGAGCCUUGCAUCAAAGGAAGAAAACAGUAACUCAUUUAAUCCUCUAAGUUUGCCGGAAGGCGCUCUCAGACAGCUCUCCCAGGAGCCAAUGCUAGAGUUCCGACAGGGCAGAAUCAGGCUGCAGGCAGGCAGGCAGCUUUAUCUGGCCUCAAAAUCACAAGCUUUCUGUUACCCUGAACGGUUCCCAACAAGAAGGCAAAAAUGACCAAAACACUGAGAGCUUCCCAAGGGCGGCAGUCUCCUCCACGUGACACUUCUGGCUCCGUUUCCUGCCCUGAAGCACCCUUCACACCCAGGACCUCAAACCUCCACGUUCCCUCAAAACCUACCUCUUGGGCUACAUUCUCAAAGCAAGGGCCACUGCCUAGGACACCCAAUUCUCUGUGGGAAGUUGGCAGAGGAGAGGAUAGAACUAUCAUUUCCUCUGAGAAGCAAAGAGAUUGAUCUCUCCUCCAUCCUCUGCGACUCUCAAGAGAAAGAAAAGAAAGCAAAAUACAACCAUUGGCAUGGGCCAGCCUAUAACUAAUUCAACAAGGACAGUGCUGCAAACGUCCUGCUAACCAGACUUCUUUCCCUCGCUCAGCAGCCUGACCAGUGUCAGAAAUCUCACCAAGCAGACAUGCAUUUAUUUCGUCUCACGCCCAGCCUCCAAGCAACCGCCUCCAGGACACAAAUGCUCCUGAAAAGGACUGCACAGCAAAGGGACAAACAGUGGGCUCUGCAUCCAACGCCUGAGACCCAUCAUCACACUGGACCUUGCUGAAGUCAUUUAACUCCAGAAUCUCCAUGAAGGGAGGCUACACAAGCUAGCUUGGGGGGGCAUGAAGAGCAGAUAACACAUGGAAGGACCCUGCAGCACAGCCAGCGGCUCAGCAGAAAGUAGGCAGGUGUUAGUGGAUGCUGACUGGCCAUCCCAGUUCCAAUAAAUCAAGCUGAAAGCUGGAGUCCCCAACAGAAGGUUCCAGAGCACUGGCCCCCAGAAAAAGGAAUGGAGCUGUGAGAUAUGGAGUAAUGCAGGAGCAGAGCGUACCUCGGAAGUUAGGAACUGCUAACCUAGACGAACUGAACCUGCCAACUUUGCCGAGAGCAGCGGUUUUCAAUGUAUGGCCAGACCAGCAGCAUCAGCAUCAUCUGGGAUCUCGUAGAGACUCCUCAGGCCCAGCCCCAGACCCACCUGGUCAGAAAUCUGGGCUUUCCUAAGCCUUCCAGGGGAUUCUGAGGCUGGCUAAUAUUUGAGAACCAUUAGCCAG